Long non-coding RNA from Acanthochromis polyacanthus (spiny chromis), 3121 nucleotides. RefSeq lists it as uncharacterized. The transcript is spliced from 3 exons. The record is from RefSeq and is a predicted model, not a curated record. NCBI's taxonomy places the organism in Eukaryota, Metazoa, Chordata, Actinopteri, Pomacentridae.
UUCUCUGGUUUUCCUGCCUGACAUGUGACGUGUUGCGGCCUAUCAGACGCUCCACUGCUGAUUUCUAACACACUCCAAAUGCUAAUGACAGAAGUGGACUCCUGAAUACAUGAACACGUCUUACAUAAUCCUGGGAAUGGUUUUGGGAAUUCCCAGGAAGCGUUUUGGCAGGUUGACCGGCUCAAAGUUUCCUCCGAGCCCAGUUUACUUUGUCCCCGUUUGUUUUUGGAGAGCAGAAGCCCUUUAAUGAUAUUUAUGGAGUCCGGUUGGUGCUUGUUGGCCGGCAUAUUGUCGCCACGGAUCAACAACGAGCGCCGUAUUCCCUGUGCGGGCUUUGGAUGCCAAAUAAUGCCGACAUCAGAAGGAAAUCUGGUCACUUUAAGUAUUUAUGGAUCUUCCAGAUGAAGCCAUUUUAACAGAUUUGGAUCGUCAGGUUGCCGCUUUAUUCCCUUAACUGAUGAUUCCUGGCGUUUUCUAGAUUUUCUUGAGUGUUUUUGGACAUUUUAGUGGAUUUUGUCUGCUGUUGUUUUAGUUUUAAUUUAGUGUUUUUGCUGGGGUUUUGUCAGUUUGUUGGAUUGUUUGAUAGUUUAGUGUGUUUUUGUUGGUUCUUUGUUUGCUUAUAGGGUUUUUGGAUAAUUCAGUGAGUUUUUAUUGGGUUCUGUAUCAGUUCGUUGGGUUUUUUCGAUAAUUAAGACUAUUUUUAUUGGGGUUUUUUCUGUUUGUAGAGUUUUUUGGUAAUUUAGUGUGUUUAGUUGGGUUUCUGUGUCAGUUCGUAGAGUUUUUGUGUAGUUUAGUGUGUUUUGUAUGGUUUCUGUGUUUGUUUGUAGGUUUUUUUGAUAAUUUAAUGUUUUUGUUGGAGGUUUGUGUGGAUCUGUAGGGUUUUUUGAUCAUUUAUUGUGUUUUUGUUGGAGUUUUGUGUGGAUCUGUAGGGUUUUUUGAUCAUUUAUUGUGUUUUUGUUGGAGUUUUGUGUGGCUCUGUAGGGUUUUUUGAUCAUUUAUUGUGUUUUUGUUGGAGUUUUGUGUGGCUCUGUAGGGUUUUUUGAUCAUUUAUUGUGUUUUUGUUGGAGGUUUGUGUGGAUCUGUAGGGUUUUUUGAUCAUUUAUUGUGUUUUUGUUGGAGUUUUGUGUGGAUCUGUAGGGUUUUUGAUCAUUUAUUGUGUUUUUGUUGGAGGUUUGUGUGGAUCUGUAGGGUUUUUUGAUCAUUUAUUGUGUUUUUGUUGGAGUUUUGUGUGGAUCUGUAGGUUUUUUUUGAUCAUUUAUUGUGUUUUUGUUGGAGUUUUGUGUGGAUCUGUAGGGUUUUUUGAUCAUUUAUUGUGUUUUUGUUGGAGGUUUGUGUGGAUCUGUAGGGUUUUUUGAUCAUUUAUUGUGUUUUUGUUGGAGGUUUGUGUGGAUCUGUAGGGUUUUUUGAUCAUUUAUUGUGUUUUUGUUGUUUUGUGUGGCUCUGUAGGGUUUUUUGAUCAUUUAUUGUGUUUUUGUUGGAGUUUUGUGUGGCUCUGUAGGGUUUUUUGAUCAUUUAUUGUGUUUUUGUUGGAGGUUUGUGUGGAUCUGUAGGGUUUUUUGAUCAUUUAUUGUGUUUUUGUUGGAGUUUUGUGUGGAUCUGUAGGGUUUUUUGAUCAUUUAUUGUGUUUUUGUUGGAGGUUUGUGUGGAUCUGUAGGGUUUUUUGAUCAUUUAUUGUGUUUUUGUUGGAGUUUUGUGUGGAUCUGUAGGUUUUUUUUGAUCAUUUAUUGUGUUUUUGUUGGAGUUUUGUGUGGAUCUGUAGGGUUUUUUGAUCAUUUAUUGUGUUUUUGUUGGAGUUUUGUGUGGAUCUGUAGGGUUUUUUGAUCAUUUAUUGUGUUUUUGUUGGUUUGUGUGGAUCUGUAGUUUUUUUUGAUCAUUUAUUGUGUUUUUGUUGGUUUGUGUGGAUCUGUAGGGUUUUUUGAUCAUUUAUUGUGUUUUUGUUGGAGGUUUGUGUGGAUCUGUAGGGUUUUUUGAUCAUUUAUUGUGUUUUUGUUGGAGUUUUGUGUGGAUCUGUAGGGUUUUUUGAUCAUUGAUUGUGUUUUUGUUGGAGGUUUGUGUGGAUCUGUAGGGUUUUUUGAUCAUUUAUUGUGUUUUUGUUGGUUUGUGUGGAUCUGUAGGGUUUUUUGAUCAUUUAUUGUGUUUUUGUUGGAGGUUUGUGUGGAUCUGUAGGGUUUUUUGAUCAUUUAUUGUGUUUUUGUUGGAGGUUUGUGUGGAUCUGUAGGGUUUUUUGAUCAUUUAUUGUGUUUUUGUUGUUUUGUGUGGAUCUGUAGGUUUUUUUGAUCAUUUAUUGUGUUUUUGUUGGAGUUUUGUGUGGAUCUGUAGGGUUUUUUGAUCAUUUCAAGGUUCUCACCAGGAUGUUUUUUUCAGCAUAACGGCAGAUCCUCCCGCAUGCGCAAUAGCCUUCUUUAAAUCUCGCGAGCGGCCGGCCCAGAUGUCAGCCAAUGAGCGUCACGCAGAUGCUCCAAAUGCUCGUGAUUUAGGUCACUGUUCACCAUACAUGGCAUCACGGAAACAACCGAGACAUGCUAAUUGUAACCCGAGAUUGGAAGCGAAUCUUAAUUUUAGACGGGAACGGAUCAAUCGACAGGAAAGUACGACUGAGGUGGGGAGAAAUGAAUAAUUUAACCUAGAUAGGCACCCAGUCGAUAAAAACAAAUGCACAUGGUGUUAUCUGUCAAAAUAACAAUGUAGCGGCCCUAAUCACAGCGUAUCUUUUAAACUGACAGCGUAACGGCCCGUUACACUGUCGUAACGGGCCGUUACGCUGAAAUGCGCUGGCGAGAACCCUGAAUUUAUUGUGUUUUUGUUGGAGUUUUGUGUGGAUCUGUAAGGUUUUUUGAUAAUUUAUUGUUUUUGUUGGGGUUCUGUGUCUACUUGUAGGGUUUUUGUGUAAUUUGGUGUCUUUUUCUCGAGAUUCUGUUUCCGUUUGUUGUUUCUAAAAAAAUAAUUUAGUGUGUUUCACAAACAGUAAAUUUUAAUCGAGACACGUAUAAUAAAAUGCUUAUGAGGGCACUGCAAUUUUGAGAGUUUUUGAAUUUUUAACGGAAACAUGGAGGAAAAAUAAUCUGUUAAAUAUCGUGUUUUUAAACAUAAACUUGGAUGUGUAGUUUGAGGACCGUCAGAA